UACGUUGGUGGCAAGCGUUGUCCGGAUUUAUUGGGCGUAAAGCGAGCGCAGGCGGUUCCUUAAGUCUGAUGUGAAGGCCCACGGCUCAACCGUGGAAGGUCAUUGGAAACUGGGGAACUUGAGUGCAGAAGAGGAGAGUGGAAUUCCAUGUGUAGCGGUGAAAUGCGUAGAGAUUAGGAAGAACACCAGUGGCGAAGGCGAUUCUCUGGACUGUAACUGACGCUGAGGCUCGAAAGCGUGGGGAGCAAACAGGAUUAGAUA
RNAcentral lists this ribosomal RNA (261 nucleotides) under uncultured prokaryote. RNAcentral describes it as "partial 16S ribosomal RNA". It matches the Rfam family "Bacterial small subunit ribosomal RNA", at positions 524 to 784 of the family's 1533-position model. The record is from RNAcentral.